This is a non-coding RNA of Cinara cedri, 238 nucleotides long. The record is from the annotation of a GenBank genome assembly. Lineage: Eukaryota; Metazoa; Arthropoda; Insecta; Hemiptera; Aphididae.
UAUGCACACAAUAUAUAUUGUAUAGCUUUUAUAGGCCUUGACUGUCUCCAACAAGCUCUUCCAAAAGUCUCUAUUAUCUGCAUUUUUCAUUAUUGCUGUUUCUACCCUGUUCAAUUUCUCUUUACUAGUCAUUGUUAUCGCGGUCUUCAUCUAGAGCAGUGUCCUCAAUUCCCUGCGGCCAAACCUCAGAUUUAAGAUCAGGCAUAGAGAAUGUAAGCAGAGAGAGUGCAUAGACUUA